GAGAGGACCGUGCGGCUACGAGGCCUGCUAAGCCCCCGUAUUCCUGGUUGGACUCCAGGGCCCACUCG
This 68-nucleotide transfer RNA is filed under the name Cheilinus trilobatus (tripletail wrasse). RNAcentral describes it as "tRNA-Ser". The record is from RNAcentral. Lineage: Eukaryota; Metazoa; Chordata; Actinopteri; Labriformes; Labridae.